GAUUAACGCUAGCGGCAGGCCUAAUACAUGCAAGUCGAACGGUAACAGGGUAGCAAUACCGCUGACGAGUGGCGCACGGGUGCGUAACGCGUAUGCAAUCUACCUCUAACUGGGGAAUAGCUCAGAGAAAUCUGAAUUAAUACCGCAUAACAUAACGGGAAGGCAUCUUUCUGUUAUCAAACCUUCGGGGGUUAGAGAUGAGCAUGCGUAUCAUUAGCUAGUUGGUGAGGUAACGGCCCACCAAGGCUACGAUGAUUAGGGGGUCUGAGAGGAUGAUCCCCCACACUGGUACUGAGACACGGACCAGACUCCUACGGGAGGCAGCAGUAAGGAAUAUUGGUCAAUGGACGAAAGUCUGAACCAGCCAUGCCGCGUGCAGGAUUAAGGCCCUAUGGGUCGUAAACUGCUUUUUAUACGGGACAAAAACCCCUNUACGUGUAGAGGGCUGAUGGUACUGUAAGAAUAAGGAUCGGCUAACUUCGUGCCAGCAGCCGCGGUAAAGU
This 503-nucleotide ribosomal RNA is filed under the name uncultured bacterium. RNAcentral's name for it is "bacterial SSU rRNA". It matches the Rfam family "Bacterial small subunit ribosomal RNA", at positions 28 to 526 of the family's 1533-position model. The record is from RNAcentral.